UAUGAUGUUGCGACCUUUUGUCAUUGUGGAGU
This 32-nucleotide non-coding RNA is filed under the name Mus musculus (house mouse). The record is from RNAcentral. Lineage: Eukaryota; Metazoa; Chordata; Mammalia; Rodentia; Muridae.